RNAcentral lists this ribosomal RNA (473 nucleotides) under uncultured soil bacterium. RNAcentral's name for it is "bacterial SSU rRNA". It matches the Rfam family "Bacterial small subunit ribosomal RNA", at positions 27 to 502 of the family's 1533-position model. The record is from RNAcentral.
GGGACGAACGCUGGCGGCGUGCUUAACACAUGCAAGUCGAGCGGUAAGGCCUUUCGGGGUACACGAGCGGCGAACGGGUGAGUAACACGUGGGUGAUCUGCCCUGCACUUCGGGAUAAGCCUGGGAAACUGGGUCUAAUACCGGAUAUGACCUCCUAUCGCAUGGUGGGUGGUGGAAAGAGUUUAUCGGUGCAGGGAUUGGGCCCGCGGCCUAUCAGCUUGUUGGUGGGUAAUGGCCUACCGAAGGCGACGACGGGUAGCCGACCUGAGAGGGUGACCGGCCACGACUGGGACUGAGACACGGCCCAGGACUCCUACGGGAGCAGCAGUGGGGAAUAGUGCACGAAUGGGCGAAAGGCCUAGAUGACACGCGACGCGCGUGAGGAUGACGGCCUUACGGGUUGUAAACCGUCGUUUCAGGUCAAGGUACGAGCGGACAAGUGACGGUACCUGCAAGAAGAGCAACGGCUAACG